Long non-coding RNA from Erinaceus europaeus (western European hedgehog), 1316 nucleotides. RefSeq lists it as uncharacterized. The transcript has 3 exons. The record is from RefSeq and is a predicted model, not a curated record. Lineage: Eukaryota; Metazoa; Chordata; Mammalia; Eulipotyphla; Erinaceidae.
ACCUGGGGAGACAGCACCAGCCUGUCUCCCAUUCCAGCUCCCAGGCCCAGGUGGCAGGUACUCCAGACUCCACUGCUAAGCCCAGAUGCCCUAGUCCCUGGUAUUUCUAGUGCCAGACUGGCCUCACCUUGGUGCUGCGAGUGAGGUCAAGAGGCCCAGAAGAGGCAACUUACCAGCCUUUAGAAGGAGACGGGUGAGUGUUGGAGAGCCCAGUCCGGCUGCCAGGUGCAGGGGUGUGUUUCCAGCAAAGGUGCGGGCAUUUACAUUGGCAUGGAGCUGUGGGGGGGAGACGUAUUUGAUCACAGCACAGCCAACUGCUGCCUAUCUCCUUGUACCAUCACAGCCCUUGGUCCCACCUUGGUGACCAGGUGGGUGACCAGCCCCAGCUCUUCCAUCUCUGUGGCCAGAUGCAGGGCUGUCCGACCCCCCUGUCGCUCAGCUGCCUCCACUUCAGCCCCACUGUCCACCAGCAGAUCCAAGCACUCAGGGCUUCGGGCACAGACUGCCAGGUGCACUGGGUACAGUCCUACGAACACAGGACAGCAGCCUGCAGCCGUGACCCCAAGGGGAUCCCCAAGCCAGCUGACUGUGGCCCCCACCAGGUCCAUACAGGAUGAGGAACUCACCCUGGAAGUCAGGCACAUGCAGCAGUUGGGACAUGGUGGGCACCCCGCUCCACAGCAGGGUGCGCAGCAUGUCAGGGGCACCAGCGCCUGCCCGCAGUGCCAGGUGUACUGCUGAGUCUCCGUGCCUGUCCAGCAGUCCAGGGUCUGCACCCACCUGCAGCAGGAAGCUCACCACUCUCGUCUGCCCAGUAAUCACCGCCAGGUGCAGAGGUGUCUGGGGACACAGGCAGAGUGAGCCUGACCCACCUGCACCUAGACCCAUAUGCUCCUCAACCCCUAGCCCCUCACCAAGUGGAGGCCCUCACCUGGUGCAGGUGAUUGGUGAGGUUGACGACGCCCAAGUGCCGGGCGUGAUAGAUGACAUGGGCGAUCUGCUCAAUGACACUGGUCUGCCCGUGGAUAAUGGCCAGGUGCAACGGCCUGGGGGCGAGGGGGUUGAAGGAGAUUCUGGCUAAUGAGUCCAAACCCUACCACCUCCACAGCCUCCCCUCAAGAGUCCUGUGGAGCCCAGGUGUCUCCCAGGGAAGCGUGACAUUUGGACUUAGUCCUUCAGCGCACUUCUUUAUGUCAUCAAGAUAGUCUGUUCCCUUCCCUACUUAGAUCUAGGUGGUGACCCUUCAGCCCUGUGAACCUUUCGGCCCGACCUCCCGCCCACCUACGUGUCUCCAUUCUCGUCCUGAGCAGUCAGCA